CCCGAGAUAGUGCUGGAUGACGUGCCUGCGGUGAGGGUGGCGGGACGGCCUCCAUUCGCUCCGCGGGUGGCCUUCAUGGUGAACAAAACACAAGUCAAGACAGUUCUAGCUUACAACUUUUCUGUGAAGACAGAAAACAAAUAUUCAUACAAAGAAGAAAAAGAUUUCUCUAGAGUUUGGCGGAAAGAGUCUUUUCCCCACUAAAAUAUCUAAGA
Molecule: non-coding RNA, 215 nt
Organism: Sus scrofa (pig)
Lineage: Eukaryota; Metazoa; Chordata; Mammalia; Artiodactyla; Suidae
Source: RefSeq, a predicted model, not a curated record